UACGAAGGGGGCUAGCGUUGUUCGGAAUUACUGGGCGUAAAGCGCGCGCAGGCGGCUAUCCAAGUCAGUGGUGAAAUCCCGGGGCUCAACCUCGGAACCGCCUUCAAUACUGGAUAUCUUGAGUUCGGGAGAGGUGAGUGGAAUGCCGAGUGUAGAGGUGAAAUUCGUAGAUAUUCGGCGGAACACCAGUGGCGAAGGCGACUCACUGGCCCGAUACUGACGCUGAGGCGCGAAAGCGUGGGGAGCAAACAGG
This 253-nucleotide ribosomal RNA is filed under the name uncultured bacterium. RNAcentral describes it as "partial 16S ribosomal RNA". It matches the Rfam family "Bacterial small subunit ribosomal RNA", at positions 524 to 776 of the family's 1533-position model. The record is from RNAcentral.